GAUGAACGCUGGCGGCGUGCCUAAUACAUGCAAGUCGAGCGAACGGACGAGAAGCUUGCUUCUCUGAUGUUAGCGGCGGACGGGUGAGUAACACGUGGAUAACCUACCUAUAAGACUGGGAUAACUUCGGGAAACCGGAGCUAAUACCGGAUAAUAUUUUGAACCGCAUGGUUCAAAAGUGAAAGACGGUCUUGCUGUCACUUAUAGAUGGAUCCGCGCUGCAUUAGCUAGUUGGUAAGGUAACGGCUUACCAAGGCAACGAUGCAUAGCCGACCUGAGAGGGUGAUCGGCCACACUGGAACUGAGACACGGUCCAGACUCCUACGGGAGGCAGCAGUAGGGAAUCUUCCGCAAUGGGCGAAAGCCUGACGGAGCAACGCCGAGUGAGUGAUGAAGAUCUUCGGAUCGUAAAACUCUGUUAUUAGGGAAGAACAUAUGUGUAAGUAACUGUGCACAUCUUGACGGUACCUAAUCAGAAAGCCACGGCUAACUACGUG
RNAcentral lists this ribosomal RNA (497 nucleotides) under uncultured bacterium. RNAcentral describes it as "partial 16S ribosomal RNA". It matches the Rfam family "Bacterial small subunit ribosomal RNA", at positions 28 to 507 of the family's 1533-position model. The record is from RNAcentral.